Molecule: ribosomal RNA, 403 nt
Filed under: uncultured bacterium
Lineage: Bacteria
Description: bacterial SSU rRNA
Rfam family: Bacterial small subunit ribosomal RNA
Source: RNAcentral
UAGGGAAUAUUAGAAAUGGACGAAAGUCUGAUCUAGCGACACCGCGUGUGCGAAGAAGGCCUUCGGGUUGUAAAGCACUUUUUGGAAGGAAUAGGAAGGAAGGUACUUCCAGAAUAAGUCUCGGCUAACUACGUGCCAGCAGCCGCGGUAACACGUAGGAGGCGAACGUUAUCCGGAUUUACUGGGCGUAAAGCGCGUGUAGGUGGUUCUGUAAGUAGGGCGUGAAAGCUCCUGGCUCAACUGGGAGAGGCCGUUCUAAACUGCAGAGCUAGAGGAUGGUAGAGGGAGGUGGAAUUCCAGGUGUAGCGGUGAAAUGCGUAGAUAUCCGGAGGAACACCAGUGGCGAAAGCGGCUUCCUGGCCCAUUUCUGACGCUCAGACGCGAAAGCUAGGGUAGCAAACGG